This 756-nucleotide ribosomal RNA is filed under the name uncultured bacterium. RNAcentral's name for it is "bacterial SSU rRNA". It matches the Rfam family "Bacterial small subunit ribosomal RNA", at positions 8 to 796 of the family's 1533-position model. The record is from RNAcentral.
AGAGUUUGAUCAUGGCUCAGAAUCAACGCUGGCGGCGCGCUUAACACAUGCAAGUCGCACGAGAAAGUGGAGCAAUCCAUGAGUACAGUGGCGUACGGGUGAGUAACACGUGGAUCAUCUACCUUCUAGUGGGGAAUACCUCCGGGAAACUGGAGACAAUACCGCAUAAGCUCGAGAGAGGAAAGCCGAAAGGCGCUGGAAGAGGAGUCCACGGCUGAUUAGCUAGUUGGCGGGGUAAUGGCCCACCAAGGCGAAGAUCGGUAGCCGGCCUGAGAGGGCACACGGCCACACUGGCACUGAAACACGGGCCAGACUCCUACGGGAGGCAGCAGUGGGGAAUCUUGCACAAUGGAGGAAACUCUGAUGCAGCGACGCCGCGUGAGCGAUGAAGCCCUUCGGGGUGUAAAGCUCUUUCGACGGGAACGAUAAUGACGGUACCCGAAGAAGAAGCUGCGGCUAACUACGUGCCAGCAGCCGCGGUAAUACGUAGGCAGCAAGCGUUGUUCGGAAUUACUGGGCGUAAAGAGUGUGUAGGCGGUGUUCUAAGUUUGUCGUGAAAUCUCCCGGCUUAACUGGGAGGGUGCGGCGAAAACUGGAAUGCUAGAGGAUGGGAGAGGUAAGCGGAAUUCCUGGUGUAGCGGUGAAAUGCGUAGAUAUCAGGAGGAACACCUGUGGUGUAGACAGCUUACUGGACCAUUUCUGACGCUGAGACACGAAAGCGUGGGUAGCAAACAGGAUUAGAUACCCCAGUAGUCC